GACGAACGCUGGCGGCGUGCUUAACACAUGCAAGUCGAGCGGUAAGGCCCUUUCGGGGGUACGACGAGCGGCGAACGGGUGAGUAACACGUGGGUGACCUGCCCUCAGCUCUGGGAGUAAGCCUGGGAAACCGGGUACUAAUACUGGAUAUGACUCCAUGACGCAUGUUGUGGGGUGGAAAGCCUUGUGCGGCUGAGGAUGGGCCCGCGGCCUAUCAGCUUGUUGGUGGGGUGANGGCC
Molecule: ribosomal RNA, 239 nt
Filed under: uncultured bacterium
Lineage: Bacteria
Description: partial 16S ribosomal RNA
Rfam family: Bacterial small subunit ribosomal RNA
Source: RNAcentral